UCCACUCCCGCACCCGCACCCACAAGCGCACUCGCAGCCGCACGGCCACCGGCUUCUCCGCAGCACCUCCAACUCCGCCUAAAGGGGGCAGCACCCGGGCCAGACAAGGUUUUGAGGACUUGAAGUGGGACGAGCACAGUUCUUUUGUCUUCACUAGGAUCAAAACCAAAACGGUCUUCCCGCCCGCACCGGAUCAAGCAGUUUGGACAUCACCCUACUGAAAACUUGCGGCUCUUCGUAGUUUUUGCUUACUCUUCAUCACGAUGCAGGAGAUGAUUUCGAGUCAAGAAGACUUUAUUUAUGAACCUUGGAAGGGAUCUUCUAGGAUGGUGAACUUUCUAGGAGCGAUGAUGUACUGUAAUUUUAUUUUAACGUAUUUUGAUUUAUGGUUAUUUAUUAGUUUUUAAAAAAUGCUUGUUCUAAGACAUUUCUGAAUGUAGGCCAUUUUCCAAAAAGGAAACUUUAUUUUCAAGAACCUAUUCCCUAGUAAGUCCUAAUCUUGGAAAAGAAAAAAGGGCGGUGGAGGGGAAAACAUUAAGAAUCCAUUCAUUAUUCCCAGGGCAUUUUCAGAAGGUCUGACACUUUCAUUGUUAUGCCAGGUGGUUGAAAUUAAACUUUGAUAUUAGGUGGUUUUUUUUGAGAUUUUUUUUCCUUAGACAUAUAGUUUGUAUAAAGUAGAAGUUUAAAAAAGCUUAAAGUUCAGAAUUGUGUAAUUAUGAAAAUCUAAUGCUCAAGAUAUUGCUUUUCUAAAAGAAAAUUAGUAGUAAUGGUAUCUGAUUUCAAAAUAUUUAAAACAUAACCCAACUGAUGGCAGGAUGAUUAUAUGUUGGUUAUGUGGUAGGCCUGGGUCAGCUGUAGGGAAAACCCUGCUUAUAUCAUGUGUGUGUGAAGGAGAAGAUGUCUUUUGACUGAUUUAUGAGCAUGAAUGUGCUAGAUGUUUCAUUUCAAGAAUGUGAGGGAAAAGAGAAUCAAUCAUUCAGCUUGUGUGAGAGAAUCUCAGCCCGUACAGACUAGAAUACUCUUCUCCAAGUGCUCUGCACACUUCCACUUGAGCCACAUUUUAUGAUCCUUUUACUUUGUUCUAGAAGCACACUAAAGAAUCUCAUUGUUUAAAGUACAGUUUGUAAAUAUUCCAAAGGACUCAGAGGUGUCGCUUUUUGUUUUCAUACUGAAAAUGCCGUUAAUUGGAGAAACCAAUUCUUGCUCUAUGAGAAAGUCGAGGGUUAUAUGUUUUGUUGUUAGGUUAGCUAAACUCAGAAACUGUAAAGGAAAGAACUGGGUAAACACUAGAUUUUCAGUGAGAAAACAACCCCAGUCUUGUCUUAGUAGCCACUUGUUCAGGAAUCUGUGGGGAGAAAAAGAGGAUGUGCUUUUAAAGGUAGAACAAACCCUCUUCUGUGUUAAAUCAAAAGGAUGGUCAAAGUCCACGAGGGCAGAUGCUACUUAAGUUUAAAUAGAGCCAUAGAUGAUACCAAAUCCUCUUGAGACUGAAAAUCACUUCCUAUCGGCAUGGCUUUACUAACUGUCCUCCGUUUUCCAUUAUCUUUUUCACACAGUCUUGGUCAGUGUUUUUCCAGCGUUUAAAUUGGAAUGGUCAGUUUUAGACCACUGCUAUGUUAUGCAGUCAAGAAGUGAAAAGAGAAUUGCCUGCUA
Molecule: long non-coding RNA, 1653 nt
Organism: Carlito syrichta (Philippine tarsier)
Lineage: Eukaryota; Metazoa; Chordata; Mammalia; Primates; Tarsiidae
Exons: 2
Source: RefSeq, a predicted model, not a curated record